Camelina sativa (false flax) is the source of this 610-nucleotide long non-coding RNA. RefSeq lists it as uncharacterized. Lineage: Eukaryota; Viridiplantae; Streptophyta; Magnoliopsida; Brassicales; Brassicaceae. The record is from RefSeq and is a predicted model, not a curated record.
ACAUAUAUUUAAAAAAUUAUAAUUAUUAAUUAAAUUAUUUAAUAAAAACCUCUCUCUGCAUAUAAAGCCAUCGUUCUCAUCGUGUUCUCGCCGCCGUGAUUAUCUAGUCGUAUUUUUGUUGCUGAUCUGUCUUCACCUAGCCGAUCUCGUCGUCUCUAUGAAAGGAGUGAAAGAAGAGCGCCAUCGAUGCUAUCAUCGAACUAGCCAAGGAAGCUGAACGGCUCUUCACGAUUCAUCACGAUUCCGCAACGCCUCUACCUAUCAAUAUGAUACAGAGAAUUGGCCUUUGAUUGAUCCUUUGUCCUCUUAUGGAAGAGGAUGUGGACGAAGAUAUAUCAACUUUAUUCAUGGAGACGAACUCAAUGACACUGUUAUUACAUGAUAUUUAUGUUAAAAUACAUAAUUUUUUUGAAGGUUCUUGAUUUAUGUAAGGGUUUGAUGUAAGGGUUUUCAGGAUAGCUAUAACGCUCUAUUUCCUCCGUGGAAUGACUCAUCUUAGUAGGCUUGAAAACAAUAGUAUUAUUCUCUAGCUUAUUGUUAUGUAGUAUCUCUUAUGUUUAGAGUAUUGGAUUUGUUUGAAGUGCUCUUAAGGAGAUAAUCUGUUUUUCUU